UAUCAUCAGAAUUAAAAGAACUAUCAUCUACAAUGGCUCCAUUACAGGCAAUGCUCUCCUGCCUAUUCAGUUUGUCCUUGAUUCUCUCAAAUCCCUCUCAUACCUGUCCAGGAGCUCAUUAAACUUUAUCUCAAAAGCUUCUGCGAUAUCUUCCUUCAACUGAUUGACUAUGGCUUGGAUUGCUGCAUCCAUUUUGCUUUCUUUUUUGUGUUUUAUCUAUUAAAAU
Molecule: long non-coding RNA, 226 nt
Filed under: Nicotiana benthamiana
Lineage: Eukaryota; Viridiplantae; Streptophyta; Magnoliopsida; Solanales; Solanaceae
Description: long non-coding RNA (NBEN_LNC020255)
Source: RNAcentral